Molecule: microRNA, 22 nt
Filed under: Microcaecilia unicolor
Lineage: Eukaryota; Metazoa; Chordata; Amphibia; Gymnophiona; Siphonopidae
Description: Mun-Mir-208-P1_3p (mature (guide))
Source: RNAcentral
AUAAGACGAACAAAAGGUUUCU